This 765-nucleotide ribosomal RNA is filed under the name uncultured bacterium. RNAcentral describes it as "bacterial SSU rRNA". It matches the Rfam family "Bacterial small subunit ribosomal RNA", at positions 9 to 746 of the family's 1533-position model. The record is from RNAcentral.
GAGUUUGAUCCUGGCUCAGGACGAACGCUGGCGGCGUGCCUAAUACAUGCAAGUCGAACGGUCUUUUCUAUGGAAGCUUGCUUCCACUGAGAAGAUAGUGGCGGACGGGUGAGUAACACGUGGGUAACCUGCCCAUAAGAGGGGGAUAACAUCCGGAAACGGGUGCUAAUACCGCAUAGUUUUCUUGAUCGCAUGAUCGAGAAAGGAAAGACGGCCUUUGUGCUGUCGCUUAUGGAUGGACCCGCGGCGUAUUAGUUAGUUGGUGAGGUAAUGGCUCACCAAGACGAUGAUACGUAGCCGACCUGAGAGGGUGAUCGGCCACAUUGGGACUGAGACACGGCCCAAACUCCUACGGGAGGCAGCAGUAGGGAAUCUUCCGCAAUGGACGAAAGUCUGACGGAGCAACGCCGCGUGAGUGAAGAAGGUUUUCGGAUCGUAAAACUCUGUUGUCAGAGAAGAACAAGUUGGAGAGUAACUGCUCCAGCCUUGACGGUAUCUGACCAGAAAGCCACGGCUAACUACGUGCCAGCAGCCGCGGUAAUACGUAGGUGGCAAGCGUUGUCCGGAUUUAUUGGGCGUAAAGCGAGCGCAGGCGGUUCCUUAAGUCUGAUGUGAAAGCCCACGGCUCAACCGUGGAAGGUCAUUGGAAACUGGGGAACUUGAGUGCAGAAGAGGAGAGUGGGAUUCCAUGUGUAGCGGUGAAAUGCGUAGAUAUAUGGAGGAACACCAGUGGCGAAAGGCGACUCUCUGGUCUGUAACUGACGC